Molecule: ribosomal RNA, 468 nt
Filed under: uncultured bacterium
Lineage: Bacteria
Description: partial 16S ribosomal RNA
Rfam family: Bacterial small subunit ribosomal RNA
Source: RNAcentral
GACGAACGCUGGCGGCGUGCUUAACACAUGCAAGUCGAACGGAAAGGCCCUGCUUUUGUGGGGUGCUCGAGUGGCGAACGGGUGAGUAACACGUGAGUAACCUGCCCUUGACUUUGGGAUAACUUCAGGAAACUGGGGCUAAUACCGGAUAGGAGCUCCUGCUGCAUGGUGGGGGUUGGAAAGUUUCGGCGGUUGGGGAUGGACUCGCGGCUUAUCAGCUUGUUGGUGGGGUAGUGGCUUACCAAGGCUUUGACGGGUAGCCGGCCUGAGAGGGUGACCGGCCACAUUGGGACUGAGAUACGGCCCAGACUCCUACGGGAGGCAGCAGUGGGGAAUAUUGAACAAUGGGCGGAAGCCUGAUGAAGCAACGCCGCGUGCGGGAUGACGGCCUUAGGGUUGUAAACCGCUUUCGCCUGUGACGAAGCGUGAGUGACGGUAAUGUGUAAAGAAGCACCGGCUAACUACGUG